This 31-nucleotide non-coding RNA is filed under the name Homo sapiens (human). The record is from RNAcentral. Lineage: Eukaryota; Metazoa; Chordata; Mammalia; Primates; Hominidae.
UGAGGACCUAUCUAUGUGCUUUGAAAGACAA